This 330-nucleotide ribosomal RNA is filed under the name uncultured bacterium. RNAcentral describes it as "bacterial SSU rRNA". It matches the Rfam family "Bacterial small subunit ribosomal RNA", at positions 568 to 898 of the family's 1533-position model. The record is from RNAcentral.
UGCGCAGGCGGUCUUGCAAGACAGAUGUGAAAUCCCCGGGCUUAACCUGGGAACUGCAUUUGUGACUGCAAGGCUGGAGUACGGCAGAGGGGGAUGGAAUUCCGCGUGUAGCAGUGAAAUGCGUAGAUAUGCGGAGGAACACCGAUGGCGAAGGCAAUCCCCUGGGCCUGUACUGACGCUCAUGCACGAAAGCGUGGGGAGCAAACAGGAUUAGAUACCCUGGUAGUCCACGCCCUAAACGAUGUCAACUGGUUGUUGGGAAGGUUCCUUCUCAGUAACGUAGCUAACGCGUGAAGUUGACCGCCUGGGGAGUACGGCCGCAAGGUUGAA